RNAcentral lists this ribosomal RNA (468 nucleotides) under uncultured bacterium. Its description in RNAcentral is "partial 16S ribosomal RNA". It matches the Rfam family "Bacterial small subunit ribosomal RNA", at positions 28 to 507 of the family's 1533-position model. The record is from RNAcentral.
GACGAACGCUGGCGGCGUGCCUAACACAUGCGAGUCGAACGGAAAGGCCCUGCUCUUGCGGGGCGCUCGAGUGGCGAACGGGUGAGUAACACGCGUGUAACCUCCCCCUGAAUUUGGGAUAACUUCAGGAAACUGGGGCUCAUAUCGGGUAGGAGCUCCUGCUGCACGGUGGGGGAUGGAAAGUUUCGGCGGUUCUGGAUGGACUCGCAGCUUAUCAGCUUGUUGGUGAGGUAGUGGCUUACCAAGGCUUUGACGGAUAGCCGGCCUUGGAGGGGGACCGGCCACAUUGGGACUAAGGGACGGCGCAGACGCCUACGGGAGGCAGCAGGGGAGAGUAUUACACAAUGGGCGGGAGCCUGAGACAGCGACGCCGCGUGCGGGAUGACGGCCUUCGAGUUGUAAACCGCUUUCGCCUGUGACGAAGCGUGAGUGACGGUAAUGGGUAAGAAAGCACCGGCUAACUACGUG